AUUAGAUUCAUGUUCUUUUAUUAACUUGUGAGCAUCCCUCUUUUAUUUGUCUAUUCUACCAUUAUGCCAGUAACUUCAUGAUAGAAAAAUCAUAGAAAGCUAGAAAGAUGGUGUCACCAUUGUUAAAUUAACUAAGUUUAGAGACUAAUUCGAGAGAAUGGAAUGUAAUAGAGAGAAAUAGAGUAGUAGCUUCUUUAGAGGAUCAGGAUCCAUGGUGUACUAUUCCCCACAUAUAGAGAUGACGUAAUUAACCUGUUAAGUAAUCGUGCUUGAAAUUUAAACUUCCAAUACUUUUCUUCAAUCUUUCUUUUUUAUUGUCACUAUCUUUUUUGCUACCAUCCUUCGAUCUCUUGCAUCCACAAAUUUACCAGCACUAUGUUGAUCACCAUGUCUGCAUCUGAACCAUGUGCAUAUAUGUGUUCACUAGUCAAUCUUG
Molecule: long non-coding RNA, 436 nt
Filed under: Lathyrus oleraceus (garden pea)
Lineage: Eukaryota; Viridiplantae; Streptophyta; Magnoliopsida; Fabales; Fabaceae
Description: Pisum sativum (pea) long non-coding RNA (PSAT_LNC027371)
Source: RNAcentral